This 776-nucleotide small RNA is filed under the name Arabidopsis thaliana (thale cress). RNAcentral's name for it is "ATSL166340". The record is from RNAcentral. Lineage: Eukaryota; Viridiplantae; Streptophyta; Magnoliopsida; Brassicales; Brassicaceae.
GAUUUGAAAAAUUUCAGAAAAUGAUUUCACAAAAAAGGAGUGUUCAUGUAGUUGCAUUACAUUUAGGAUCGAGUCUAGAGUGUUUCAUUUAGGAUUGUUGCAUAUGCAUAGGGGAUGAUGAUGAGAUAGCCUUGUAAGAAUUUUGAUUCACCGGAUAAACUCAGUGCCCUCGUUGCUAGUUGUCUGUUGCGUAGUCAAUGAAUUUGAAAUAAAACUGAACCAUGCCUAGAUUGCUCUACUCGACCACACUGUCAUGAUCUGAUACCAUUCCCUAUCAAUUUGAACCUAAAUCUGAUCUUUAAUUAUCAUGUCUGCAUCAAAUUUGAACUCAUGGAUACCCUAAAAUACUUGGAUUUUCUUAUUCAUUUUGAUCACUCUUGUUAAUCCAAGUAGCUGACUCUCCUUAUUAGAGCAGUUAACCCAAACCCAAACUUAGACUUUCUUUCAAGCCCUAUAUCACUUGUGAGUGUUUGUGAGGUCUUAUUCCGAUUAAGCUUGGUAGAAAGUGUUAGGUUCGUAACGACAGAGAUAGUGUCUCAUGUAGUUCUAGUUCGCAUUUUUCGGACUAGAUAGGACUAGGUGGGCGCUUAUACUUUGGGUUGGGAUGUGUUUAAAAGAAAAAAAGGGGUCGAUUCAUUGAUAAGAAAAGGUAAAAGACUCUAGGUGAAGUAAGCUAAAGAAGCAGAAAAAGUCUAGAAAAGGUUUUGGGAUUUGUAAAGAAAAGAAAGAGUUCUUGUUAGCUGUUGAAGAUGGGCAAAAGCCCUUGGUUUUAGAAU